Molecule: non-coding RNA, 28 nt
Filed under: Cricetulus griseus (Chinese hamster)
Lineage: Eukaryota; Metazoa; Chordata; Mammalia; Rodentia; Cricetidae
Source: RNAcentral
GUUUGUAGAAAUUUUAGGUCUUGGCAGA